Lytechinus pictus (painted urchin) is the source of this 1246-nucleotide long non-coding RNA. RefSeq lists it as uncharacterized. The record is from RefSeq and is a predicted model, not a curated record. Lineage: Eukaryota; Metazoa; Echinodermata; Echinoidea; Temnopleuroida; Toxopneustidae. The transcript is spliced from 3 exons.
CUAUAAUUUAUCAUAAACUAAAGGAACACAGGUCAGAUUCGGACAACGACUUCAAAUUCAUUCGCAGAAUACGCUAAACAAUUGGACGACGGAUACACUGGAUGAUAAUGCAGAUGGUCCAGGAUUAUCUGGGAAGGAAACUACAGGUGUUGAACACAGAAAACCGUUUACAAGAAAACAACUGGAGUUUGUGAAAGCUGCAAGAAAUUUAUCUUGCCGGGUACGCAUUCACUUCACCUUGGUCGAGUGCAGCACAGUGGAUAAAUGUGUUGCUGAAGGAAAACACCAUUGCUGGGAUUCAAACCCACGACACUCUGUUGAAAGGUGAGAGUCAGAACCACUAGACCACGACGCACCCACAGUUAACAAGCUGAUGUCAUACCCCACUUGUUCUUUUGUAUUUUAUAACAAGAAGUCAUGUUUAUUCACAUUUUGACCUCCAAGAACUAAAAAGUGGAGUGAAGAUUUAUUUAAUGUAAACACAUGCAUUGCUUGAAAUCAUUUUAUGCUACGUGGGACAUAUCAUACACACGUGUACGAAAAUAUGAAAUUAUUAUGAUUUCAUUUUAUAACAUAAGCCUAACACAUAUUCCUGACGAUCAUGUGCACAUUCCAGUAAUUUUUCCCAAAAUGUUGCUAAACCUUCAAAUCAAAGACUUUGUUAUCAGAUUUUAACGAAAUUGUCAACAUUAUGCUUUUCUGAUUAAUUCUCUUCCUACCUAAAUCUCCCCUUUCCUCAUGCUUUCUUUCUAUGGACCCUUCAUUCUCCUCAUAACUAUGCUAUAUGUAAAAUGUAACCGGUCGUCCAACCCAUUUGAUUGAAGGGCUAGGUACUCUAGACUGAAAGUUAUGUGAUUUAAAUUCAAAGAGUACAUCAGACAAAAAAAAACACUGAACAUUUCAUCAAAAUUGAAUGAGGAUUAACGAAAUUAUGACGAAUUAAAGUUGUUAUUUUUUGGUAAAACUGUUCUCUGCAAGUCCUCAUGAAUAUACAAAAUCCCAAUUUAUAUAUUUUGUUGUAUUAUAUGAAUUCAAAUUUUGUCCAAGCUAGGUUGUAAAAAAUUACGAUUGACUACUGAUAUACUGUGUAAGACAAAAAUUAUAUUAUUUCUCACACAUAGUUGAGUUAUUCAUCUGAUUCAACACAACAAAAAUAGACAAAAAAGAAAUAAGUGGGAAUCUUGUAUAUUUGAACUAUGGGAAAUAGUUAAAAAAUAGAUUUGCUACUAAGAAUUAUUUUCUAUAU